AGUGAACGCUGGCGGUAGGCCUAACACAUGCAAGUCGAACGGCAGCACAGUAAGAGCUUGCUCUUACGGGUGGCGAGUGGCGGACGGGUGAGGAAUACAUCGGAAUCUACUUUUUCGUGGGGGAUAACGUAGGGAAACUUACGCUAAUACCGCAUACGACCUACGGGUGAAAGCAGGGGAUCUUCGGACCUUGCGCGAUUGAAUGAGCCGAUGUCGGAUUAGCUAGUUGGCGGGGUAAAGGCCCACCAAGGCGACGAUCCGUAGCUGGUCUGAGAGGAUGAACCGCCACACUUGAACCGAGACACGGUCCAGACUCCCACGGGGGGGAGCAGUGGGGGAUUUUUGAACAUUGGCGCCAGCCUGAUCCAGGCAUACCGCGUUGGUGGAGGAGGGCUUCGGGUUGGUAAAGCCUUUUGUUGGGGAAGGAAAGCAGCAAGGUAAAUCCCCGCUGUUCUGGCGGUUCCCAAAGGAUAAACCACGGCUAACUUCGGU
RNAcentral lists this ribosomal RNA (492 nucleotides) under uncultured bacterium. RNAcentral's name for it is "partial 16S ribosomal RNA". It matches the Rfam family "Bacterial small subunit ribosomal RNA", at positions 29 to 507 of the family's 1533-position model. The record is from RNAcentral.